RNAcentral lists this ribosomal RNA (246 nucleotides) under uncultured bacterium. RNAcentral describes it as "partial 16S ribosomal RNA". It matches the Rfam family "Bacterial small subunit ribosomal RNA", at positions 15 to 244 of the family's 1533-position model. The record is from RNAcentral.
GAUCCUGGCUCAGGAUGAACGCUGGCGGCGUGCCUAACACAUGCAAGUCGAACGAGGUAAAUGAGAUGAAGUUUUCGGAUGGAUUCUUAUUUACCGAGUGGCGGACGGGUGAGUAACGCGUGGGUAACCUGCCUCAUACAGGGGGAUAACGAUUGGAAACGAUUGCUAAUACCGCAUAAGCGCACAGUACCACAUGGUACAGUGUGAAAAACUCCGGUGGUAUGAGAUGGACCCGCGUCUGAUUAG